RNAcentral lists this long non-coding RNA (591 nucleotides) under Homo sapiens (human). RNAcentral's name for it is "HSALNT0229649". Lineage: Eukaryota; Metazoa; Chordata; Mammalia; Primates; Hominidae. The record is from RNAcentral.
AUUACAGAUGUGAGCCACUGCACCCAGCCUAUAGAUACCCAAUUUAAGCAACACUGUAUUUCCAAAUUUUGCCUGGUAAUAGCAGCAGUGAACAUUCGAGCUCAUACUGUGUGCCACAAAUGUUAUUAAGAGCUUGGCAGGCAGGUACUAUGAUGAUUCCCGGUACACAGAUGAAGAAAUUGAAGCAGGGAAGGAGGCUGGCUUGGUGCCAGUGACACAGGUGGGAUAUGAACCAGGGAAGCCUGGCUCUGGGGUCUGACUCUUUAUCAAGAUAUUCUGAUGUGGGAGGCCCAACUCGCCUGGCCCCCCUCUUUCUGCCAAUCUCUUCCCUUAGAAUGAGUUUCCUGAGCUCAGUGGACAGGAGGAUUCACUUAUGCCCCUUGCUCUGUAUGGCAGAGGCAGCACGAAGGAGGUCUGCCCUGGCUUUCUGGGAACAGAAGGCAGCACUGGCGGUGGUCCAAGAGGCCACAUCAGUACCCGGACUCUCCCACCUGCACUGCUUCUUGUGCUGAACAUCCUUCCCCAUCAACUGCUCAUAGUGACCUUUCCAACAGACUGGGGAGGUUCUCUUCAGCCUCACGUAACAGUAAA